Small nuclear RNA from Brienomyrus brachyistius, 129 nucleotides. The record is from RefSeq and is a predicted model, not a curated record. Lineage: Eukaryota; Metazoa; Chordata; Actinopteri; Osteoglossiformes; Mormyridae.
UUGUCGUAUGAAAGGAGAGAAGGUUAGCAAGGUCGACUUGGCAAGGAUGGAAGAUGCUGUACUGACCUUCAGCAUUAAGGCAUUGCCAGCUACUAGCCCAACGUGGACUGGUGUGAAGCACAAUGGGUU